GAUGAAGAACGCAGCGAAAUGCGAUAAGUAGUGUGAAUUGCAGAAUUCAGUGAAUCAUCGAAUCUUUGAACGCACAUUGCGCCCCUUGGUAUUCCAUGGGGCAUGUCUGUUCGAGCGUCAUUUGUACCUUCAAGCUCUGCUUGGUGUUGGGUGUUUGUCUCGCCUCUGCGCGUAGACUCGCCUCAAAACAAUUGGCAGCCGGCGUAUUGAUUUCGGAGCGCAGUACAUCUCGCGCUUUGCACUCAUAACGACGACGUCCAAAAGUACAUUUUUACACUCUUGACCUCGGAUCAGGUAGGGAUACCCGCUGAACUUAAGCAUAUCAAUAAGCGGAGGA
This 337-nucleotide unclassified non-coding RNA is filed under the name soil metagenome. RNAcentral's name for it is "partial contains 5.8S ribosomal RNA, internal transcribed spacer 2, and large subunit ribosomal RNA". The stretch from base 1 to 120 matches the Rfam family "5.8S ribosomal RNA", at positions 35 to 154 of the family's 154-position model. The record is from RNAcentral.